AUUGAACGCUGGCGGCAUGCCUUACACAUGCAAGUCGAACGGCAGCACGGGUGCUUGCACCUGGUGGCGAGUGGCGAACGGGUGAGUAAUACAUCGGAACGUACCUUAUCGUGGGGGAUAACGCAGCGAAAGCUGUGCUAAUACCGCAUACGCCCUGAGGGGGAAAGCGGGGGAUCGCAAGACCUCGCGCGAUUAGAGCGGCCGAUGCCUGAUUAGCUUGUUGGUGGGGUAAAAGCCCACCAAGGCGACGAUCAGUAGCUGGUCUGAGAGGACGAUCAGCCACUCUGGGACUGGGACACGGCCCAGACUCCUACGGGAGGCAGCAGUGGGGAAUUUUGGACAAUGGGGGCAACCCUGAUCCAGCAAUGCCGCGUGAGUGAAGAAGGCCUUCGGGUUGUAAAGCUCUUUUGUCAGGGAAGAAACACCGGCUCUAACACAGUCCGGGAAUGACGGUACCUGAAGAAUAAGCACCGGCUAACUACGUGCCAGCCGCCGCGGUAA
RNAcentral lists this ribosomal RNA (501 nucleotides) under uncultured bacterium. RNAcentral's name for it is "partial 16S ribosomal RNA". It matches the Rfam family "Bacterial small subunit ribosomal RNA", at positions 29 to 523 of the family's 1533-position model. The record is from RNAcentral.